RNAcentral lists this ribosomal RNA (505 nucleotides) under uncultured Rhodococcus sp. RNAcentral describes it as "bacterial SSU rRNA". It matches the Rfam family "Bacterial small subunit ribosomal RNA", at positions 903 to 1382 of the family's 1533-position model. Lineage: Bacteria; Bacillati; Actinomycetota; Actinomycetes; Mycobacteriales; Nocardiaceae. The record is from RNAcentral.
CGCCUUGCCAGCCCGCUCAGAACUUAAAGGAAUUGACGGGGGCCCGGCACAAGCGGCGGAGCAUGUGGAUUAAUUCGAUGCAACGCGAAGAACCUUACCUGGGUUUGACAUACACCGGAAACCGUAGAGAUACGGUCCCCCUUGUGGUCGGUGGUACAGGUGGUGCAUGGCUGUCGUCAGCUCGUGUCGUGAGAUGUUGGGUUAAGUCCCGCAACGAGCGCAACCCUUGUCUUAUGUUGCCAGCACGUGAUGGUGGGGACUCGUAAGAGACUGCCGGGGUCAACUCGGAGGAAGGUGGGGACGACGUCAAGUCAUCAUGCCCCUUAUGUCCAGGGCUUCACACAUGCUACAAUGGCCAGUACAGAGGGCUGCGAGACCGUGAGGUGGAGCGAAUCCCUUAAAGCUGGUCUCAGUUCGGAUCGGGGUCUGCAACUCGACCCCGUGAAGUCGGAGUCGCUAGUAAUCGCAGAUCAGCAACGCUGCGGUGAAUACGUUCCCGGGCCUU